This is a long non-coding RNA of Homo sapiens (human), 30628 nucleotides long. RefSeq lists it as uncharacterized. NCBI's taxonomy places the organism in Eukaryota, Metazoa, Chordata, Mammalia, Primates, Hominidae. The record is from RefSeq and is a predicted model, not a curated record. The transcript is spliced from 2 exons.
UGCAAAACUCCUCCUUGAAGCCAGGUGUUCAAGACCAGCCUGGGCAACAAAGCAAGACCUCUGUCACUACAAACAAAACAAAAGAAAUAGUACAUGCUCUAAUAAGGAUCCAGAUAUUAUAUAAAGGAAAAAGGAAAAGUGCUCCUUUUUUGCCCUCCCAUUUUUACUUCUAAGGUAACUAUUAUUAACAGUUUUCUGUGCAUCCUUCAAAAAUAUCCCUAUGCAUAUAUCUUCUAGCUGUUUGCUCUCUGGAUCUGCUGAAUAGUUGACAUUAUGCGACCACACUUCAUUAUCCUGGCGAUUCUCUAUACCUGACUUAAACUGGAAUCUCAGUCUUCCUCUUUGUUGUUUUACUCCUUGUUUCAGUGAAGUACCUCUUCCAGUAGGUUUCUGAAAAGGGGUGCUUUGGAAGUAAACUUCGUAAGACCUUACAUGUCAUAAAAUGUCUUUAUUCCAUCUUUACAUGUGAGAUUUUGGGUAGCCACAGAAUUCUAAGCUGAAAAUAUCUUCUUUCAGAAUCUAAAGGCAUUGUUCUAUGUCUGUUUCUAUUGUUGCCCUUCUGAUUCUUUGUCCUUGUAUGUGACCUGUUUUUUUUUGUCUCCCCUCUGGAACUUUUAGCAUCUUCUUGUGCACUGAAACAUCGCUAAUGAUGUGCCUUGGUGUGGGAGUUAUUUUUUAUCCAUCGUAUUGGGUACUUUACCGGAUGCUUUGAAUCUACACACUCAUUACCUUCAGUUUUGAGAAAUUUUAUCAAAAAUUUUUUGAUGAUUUUCUCUUCAUUUUUCAGUUCUCUCUUCUAGAGUAUUUGUAAUUCAGUUAACAGAUUUUUUGGCUGAUUUUCUACAUUUCUCUCUUAUUUUCUAGUACCUUUAAAAAAAAACAACUCUUUUUUUUUUUUUUUUGAGAUGGAGUCUUGCUCUGUCACCCAGGCUAGAGUGCAGUGGUGCAAUCUGGGCUCACUGCAACCUCCGUCCCCUGGGUUCAAGCGAUUCUCCUGCCUCAACCUCCUGAGUAGCUGAGACUACAGGCGCGUGCUGCCAUGCCUGGCUAAUUUUUUGUAUAUUUAGUAGAGAUGGGGUUUCACCGUGUUAGCCAGAAUGGUCUCGAUCUCUUGACCUCGUCAUCUGCCUGCCUAAGCCUCCCAAAGUGCUGGGAUUAUAGGCGUGAACCACCAUGCCCGAACUUUUUUUUUUUUUUUUUUUUUUUUGUAGAGUCAGGGUCUCCUUAUGUUGCCCAGGCUGGUCUCAAGUGAUCCUCCCACCUGGGGCUCCCAAAGUGCUGGGAUUACUGGCUUGAGCCAGCCUGGCUGCUAAACUCUACUUUUUGAGCAAUGGCCUCAAUUUUAUCUUCCAUCCUUUCUAUUAAGUUUUUCAUUUCUUCUAUCACACAUACAUAUAUAGGUACACACACAUAUAAAUAUAUAGACAUACAUAUAUAUACACAUAAAUGUAUGUAUGGGUAUUGUAUAUAUGUAUAUGUAUAUUUUAGAGACGGGAUCUUGUAUUCUUACCCAGGCUAGAGUGUGGUGAUGCACCAUAGUUCACUGCAGCCUCAAACUCCUGGGCUCAAGUGAUCUUUCUGCUUCAGUUUCCCGAGUAGCUGGGAUUAUAGGCGUGUGCUACCAUGCCCAGCUAACUUUAAAAUUUUUGUAGAGCCAGGGUCUCACUAUGUUGUUCAGGCUGGUCUCAAACUCCUGGCUUCAAGCAAUCUUCCCUCCUCAGCCUCCCAAAGUGCUGGGAUUACAGUUGCGAGCCACUGCGCCCAGGCUUCUACCAUAUUUUAAAUUUCCAAGGCUUCUUUAAAAAAUUUUAAACAGCAUACUGUUCUUUCUUUCAAGGAUACAAUCUCUUUUUCAACUCUCGGAGACAUUCAUUCACUCAUUCAUUUGGAGGGGCAGGUUUCCAAUGUCCUUGCAUAGUUUCUGGUUCCAAGUUGCUUUGUUCUGUUUGUACUGGCGGGACUUCGUGUUAUAGACCUUCUGAGAUGUGUGAUGAAGCUUGGCUGUUUGCUUAUAUGGAAGACUGGGACACUCAUUAUAAGUUAUUGAGAACCUUUGUGCACAUGCAGUAGGACUUGUCAACUAUGGCUUCAGUAUAGGGAGAUGAGAUUGGACUGAUUCAUUUAAGUUUUUUCUCAUGGGUUGGUCAGAUUUCCUAGAGGUGAGUCUUCCAAACUCCAGCCUGCAGCAUGUAAGACCAGCAUUCUACGAGCUGAGUUAGAGAAGAGCCUGGAGCUUUCAACAUUCAAUAUGCAAAGUUUUAUUUAUUCCCCUCUCCCUUGUUUUAGUUUAAAAUCUAUGCCCUCACUUGUGUCAGGAGUCCACCAGUCCAGAGACUACCUGUUUUACUCUCUCCAGAAAAUGUCUCCAGUCUUCUGUUAAUGGAGGGAAAGGGCUCCCCCUUUGGGAGCAGAUGGAGGGGAAUGGAGGGGAGAAUCUGAGAGUCUAAGUGUUUUUUCUAUAAAUUUUCAACCAGUCCUCUUGUUUUUAGACUUACCUCUUCCCCUAUUAAACCUACCUGAUGCCACCAAUUAUGAAGCUUUUUGAGGAUUCUGGGGUGCAAAUUGAGUUGCUGCCCCACUUCCUCCACUGCUGGCUCAGGAUUCGACUUUAAGUCUGAUCCACCAGUUCAUACUUGCCAGUCUGAUUUCCAGCUUCCCAUGAUCUCAUCACUAUUAUCUCUUUCUUCUCCUAUUCUUUGUCUUUGUGGUUUUAUGACUUAUGAAAAGAAAAACGCUUUAUUUUCAUUUAACUUUUGUGGUAGUUGUGAAAUAUGUGAAAUAUAUCCUAAGUGACUCUUUUGGAUAAGAUAUCCUGAUGGGUAGCCUUUGAGUAGAGAGAGGUGACGAGACAUUAGCUUUGGAGUUCCAAAGUCAAAUUACACAGAGGCAGAAGAAACCAUCUAGAUAAUAUUUUUUUUGAGAUGGGGUCUUGCUAUGUUGCCCGGGCUGGUCAUGAACUCCUGGGUUCAAGUGAUCCUCUUGCCUCAGCCUCCCAAAGAGCUGGAAUUACAGGCAUGAGCCAUUGCACCUGGGCUAGAUGAUUUUUUUUGAAGACUCAAGAGCUGUGGGAGAAAAAAGGCUGGAUGGACACUGUCCAUCCUGAAACAUAUGACUGGUUGAGGUGUAAGAAUAGAAUGUCUUUAGAAGAGUUUGCAAAUUUUACAGUUCAUCAGUCAGAGUACUGCAAAGCAACUGCCUGGUCACUCAAGAUAGCAGGGAGAAAGGAAGGCAGCUUAAAUAUGGCAUCAAAAAGAAUAAAGUAAAGAGGACAGGGCUCAGAGUUAUGCAGGGCUACUGCAUCUGUUGUUUGGCAGAAAGAAUUUCUUUGCUCACUCUAAGCUGGAUUUUGCUGUCUCCCUCCCAUUUCUCUUUAUAUUUGUUUCUCACAUAGAUCUCAAGUACAGAAAAGAGAGCUGGGCAACAACAAGCUAGGCCUAAAUUCACGAGGAGGUGAAAACAACAAAGAAUGCAGAGACCUCAAUAACCCUGUAUAAUCUAAUCUACAAAUCCAAACAACCACCAACAGGCUACUGAUGUACGACAGAAAUGGUGUCAAAAGUUUUUAUUUGGGGCGAGUUCUUAUAAGAACAAUGGCACUUUGUCAUUUUCAUCUACCCCCAGAACAGAGAGGAAAUGAGUCUGAAUGAGCAUAUGAGAGAUUGAGUCAGAUAUAACAGGACAAUGAAGAUGAAGAACCUUGUCAACGGAUAUUUCAAGGGAGCUAUAACAGAUUAUAGAGGUAAAUUAAAGAACUUUCUCCAUGGGAUACUUAUUUUCCCACUUACUAUUCUCCUCAUAUCAUCUAGUCUACCCUCCAAAAUUUACACGUCUCAUUCCCUAUUUCCACUAAAAAGCAUCACCUUUUCCCCUCAUUGCUCUAUCAAAAACUUAGGUAUGUCUUCAACUCCUUUUUCCUCCCCCUCCUCAUCAAGACUGUAACACAUCAUUGAUUGUAUUACCACUUUCCUUUCAAAUCUGUCUCUUCCUUUAACUUUCCCCUGCCUUUGCUCUGGUUCAGAGCCUAAUGUCCUCUCACUUGAGCCACUGUGAAAGACUUCUUAUCAGUUCUACUCCUCCCUCCCUCUAACAUGCACUGAAUAUAAUCAGAAGCCUAAUCACCCAAAAGUGUGGCACUUAGCAAAACCUUCAUUAGCUCUCUGUUACUGACAUGAUAAAAUAAAAAUUCUGCAGCCUGGCUGGGCAUGAUGGUUUACACCAGUAAUCGUAGCACUUUGGGAGGCUGAGGAGGGAGGAUUGCUUAAGGCCAGGAGUUUGAGACCAGCCUGGGCAACAUAGUGAGACCCUGUCUCUGUGUAUUUUUUAAAAAACAUUCUACAGCCCAUUUAUCAAGAUUAUUCAUGAGCCAUCAUUAAUGUAGUAUAGUGAUUAAGAGCACAGAUGUUGGAGCCAGACUACCUGAGUUUAAUCCCUAUAAACUCUGCCUAGGGUUAAAUUCAACUUCAAUUGAGCAAACAGUCAUCAAGCUCCUAGUAUUUUUUUUUUUUUUUUUGAGAUGGAAUCUUGCUCUGUCGCCCAGGCUGGAGUACAGUGGCAUGAUCUCGGCUCACUGCAAGCUCCGCCUCCCAGGUUCAUGCCAUUCUCCUGCCUCAGCCUCCCAAGUAGCUAGGACUACAAGCACCCGCCACCACGCCCGGCCAAUUUUUUGUAUUUUUAGUAGAGACGGGGUUUCACCGUGUUAGCCAGGAUGGUCUCGAUCUCCUGACCUCGUGAUCCACCCGCCUUGGCCUCCCAAAGUGCUGGGAUUAUAGGCAUGAGCCACUGUGCCCGGCCCAAGCUCCUAGUAUUUAUAAUGCAUGGUAUCAGUUGCUAUGGGCAUUCAAAAUAAGUGGCUAUCCAGAAUGAGCGUAUAACCCAAGGAUGGAGAAAGGUGUAUAAAUGAAAUAAAUCCAUGACAGAGGUAUAGACAACAUACAUAAAGCAAUACAGAGGAAGGAAUGAUUUCAUCUCCAAUAAAAUCCAGAAAUAUGACUUUACCAUGUUACAAUACUGAUAAACAUAAUGCUUUAUCCACUUUUCUCCACUCCCAUCCCACUCCUACUUCCUAUGUUCCCCAGGAUUCCUAUUAGGUGACCAGCUGUCUUGCCUAAUUUCCUUUUAGAAAUACAGACCUGCAUGAGGAGCCGGUCCUCACACCACUAUGCAGUGAUCUGUGUGCUGCUGAAGUCUCUGGAGUCCUGGCAUUAUCCCAGGGAUCUGACAUCAGUGGACAUAAGCCCUAUCUGUUCAUAUUUCACAUAGGCAUUUUCCAUUUCCAGAUCAAAUGCCAAGUCUUCCAUGAGGCUUUCCAUGAUCCUCCUUGCCAGAAAAAUCCCAUUCUCUUUUAUGUUUCUACAGACAUAUCUAUACUUCUGUUAGAGUGGUCUGCCUUGAAAUAGUUAUGUCCACACAUCUUUUCACUAGACUAUAUUUCCCUGAAGGUUAGGAUUAAAUCUUAUGCUUCUUCGUACCCCUCAUACAAUAUCUUGUAUACAGUGGGCACUCACUCAUUGCUUAUAUGAAAACAAGAAUGCAUAACUUCAGGAAAAAGGUUAAGAUUUUGGAGCUGCUAUUUAUAUAUUCUCCAAGAAUAACUAGUAAUUUGUUUAUAAAUGUAAUCCUUGCUUUGGGGUUGGGGGAAUUUAUUAACAUUCUCUUUUUAGAACUUUCAGUACUCUGCUGAAAUUCCCUAUCUAUACAAAAAUGUAAUUCACCUUUUCUACUGGAUCCUUAAACAUAUUUAUAAAAAGGAUUUUACAAUCCUUGUCUGUUAGUUUCAACAUAUGGCUCAUCUGUGGAUCUGCUUCUAUUGACUAUUUUUUCCCUCAGUCUUAUUUUUUCUGCUUCUUCCUGAGUCUUGUAACUUUUUAUUUUAUGCCAGAUGUUGUGUGUAAAAGUGUGGCAAUAGGUAUAUCCAGAAAAGGACAUGUCCCUUCCGCUGUUAGGCUGCUAGGAUUGAGAGCUGAGUCAGUCUAGCCUGUCAUAGAGCCAGGUUUGGGCUCUGUUAUAGGUCAGUUCACCAGUUUUUUUUUUUUUUUUUUUUUUCUAGACGAAGUCUUGCUCUUGUUCCCCAGGCUGGAGUGCAAUGGUGUGGUCUCGGCUCACUGCAACCUCCGCCUCCCGGGUUCAAGCAAUUCUCCUGCCUCAGCUAGGAUUACAGGUGCCUGCCACCAUGCCCGGCCAAUUUUUGUAUUUUAAGUAGAGAUGGAGUUUCGCCAUGUUGGCCAGGCUGGUCUUGAACUCCUGACCUCAGGUGACCUGCCUGCUUCAGCCUCCCAAAUCACCAGAUGUUUUUUUUUUUUUUUUUGAGACGGAGUCUCGCUCUGUCGCCCAGGCUGGAGUGCAGUGGCGGGAUCUCGGCUCACUGCAAGCUCUGCCUCCCGGGUCACCAGAUGUUUUGAGGGCAGGAUCAGGACUGUCCUUUCAGUAGCACUUAAGAUCUGAUCAUAGUGAGUCCCCAGAGAUCUCUCUAUGCCAUCCAGCCCAGCUGCCAGCUUUGGGCUGCUGUGGAGUUCUCUGCACUCUUGGUGAGCCACUUCUGUGCAUUCAAUGAAGGAUUUUUGUGCUUUGGAGGGGGUCUUUCUCUACCCUCCUGCCCUGUUCUCAGGUUCCACUGUACUGUACUGUACUGCUGCUGUAUAAUCAGUGAAGGUCCUGUGUACAUUGGGUGGGGGCAGGGAUCUUUCUCAGAUUUCUGUCCUGCCCUUAGCCAUCAGCUUGCUGCCACUGUGUACUCAGUGAAGCCCUCAUGAGAACGAUUUAGGGGUAGGUGGGUACUUAUUUGCUCUAUAAUUAGGGCUCCUUAUGGCCAGCCUACAUGUGGCCUUCAAAAGUUUGUAGGAAAUUCAGCUAUUUUCUCCUUAUCCUCAUCUAUGGUGGGUUUGCUCCUCUUAGCCAUACCCUAGGAGGAAAACAGCCAUGUAUUCCAUCUCUCCUAGGAAUGGCUCUUCUCUUUCUGGAAUUUAGUUCAAUUAGAGUACUUUGCAUCCUUAGAUAUCUGUAUUUUUAAAAAGUUAUGUUUGUUGCUUAUCCAGCUUAGCCUUGUUGUUAAGAUGAGAGUGAUAGUGUAGGACACUAUACGAUUCCCUUCAAUAAAUUAGCCCCUUGAGUGCUCUUAGAAUAAAUAAAGCCCUUCAUCUAGGGCUGCUAAGAAUGGCAACUGAUUCCUCCUCUUGUUUUCUUGCCCACUUCCUAGCACUGAUACCAUAGUCUAAGGAACACUCUGAUGCAUCCAUCUCCUCUGUAGGAUGAAAAGAGGGACUGUGGAGAGGCCAGCUCAACUGAACACUGCUCUGUUUGUGUCUGUGCAGACACGUGGCAAUGCAUGGGGCAGGAAACACUCCUCCCCUCUGGGAAAAGCACCAACACUAACGUAGUUCUUGGCUAGGAUUGGCUACCCCUCCCAGACUUCUCUCACACCGUCUGCUCCCCACAUUUUAGGCCCAGCUAUUCCAUGGAACUUGAAUAGCCAAGGGAGCCUGCAGGCAGCCAGAGGGCCAAGGGUGUGGGCUAACUAACUGGAAGAGUGGACCAGCUUGUGACUACAUAGGAAAAAAUCCUUAUUGCUUCUGUAGCACAGCAUGGUUCUUAAAAGUCAGACUUGAACACUGAAUCUGUUCUUCUGUCCAGAAUAUAUAUGCCUUGCGAAUCAGUAACUAUUUCUCUAUUUACUACUUAAUGCAUAAGAGCUGUAUACAUGGAACUCUACUUUCUCUUCUGAGAGUGGAGAAAUAUCUGCGGUACAAUAGGCUGGUUUUAACAGCUGAGAGUUUUCUUUUUUUUCUUUUUCUUCUCUUAUAAUUAUUUUUACUUCCAGUAGAGUUUAUGGAAUUGGAAGCCUAGGGGAUACCUAGGACUUCUUGCUUCCUCAUAUAGGAAAGAGAAUAACUAACUUUAUCAUCUAAACUGGAAACAGGUUCCAAGACAGCAGGAAGCUAUUUGGCCACAAAAUGUACCCUACUUCAUGGAAACAAAUCCCCAAAUCAAUCAUGAAAAAAAGCCAGACUCAGAGUUGGAGGGCUUUUCAGUCCCCAUCACUAUACCAACUAGGUAUGCACUGUAUUCUAUCAAAUAUACAAACAUCAAAUGGGGCAGAGCGGUAAAAGAGCAUCAAUAAUCACAACUCUUGAUAUUGUCUCACUUGCUAGAGUUGAUGGAUGGUGACCUAGGUUAGGCAGUGAAAUAGACAACAGUGACAAAGUGUGAAUUUGACCCAGGGACUGAGAGUAAUCUGAAAACCAAGAUAAGUAGGAGGCUAGCAAAUGUGAUGAGCCCAGUUCUAGGUUUGCCAAGGGCUAGAAUGUCUAUGGAUCAAAAUAAAAAGAACAUUUUUCAUAGUGCAAGUGUUUUAGAUAAGGCUGUCAUUAGAUGGUUCUGCAGCCAGCGAUAUCUCAUGACAUUUGCCCCUGAUACUCAAAUUAUUCUUGAUAAUUUUAAGGAGACAGGGCAAAGAGCACAUAAAGCUGGAAGUGGAAUCAGUCCAAGUUAGAAUUAAAUACAUACAGACUCAAAACUAAUCUGUCCUCUUGAAGAGGCUAACCUUAUUGGCUAGAAAUGGACUGAGCUGAUCUCAAAGAAUACACUACUAUAGACCAGAAUGCAUUCCUAAUAUUUGCUCUAGUCUUGAAAUUUUCCAUAGCUUUCUUGGAACUACACCAGAUUAAAGCUAAGAUAUAGCUUUCCUUGCUUGCUACUUUAAGAAUACUCUUGCUAUCUAUGAUAAAAUGUAUUAUGUUAAACCACGUGAAAUUGCCAAUCUUAUAGGUAAAAAAUUGGUCAAACCUGGGCACUUUCAUAUGAUUCAACAUCAAAUAUAUUUAUUUUUGUGUUUGGUCUACACUUUAGCACUUGUUUGCUACAAAACUGUGGUUGUGGAUUCUAAACUCUUUUUUUUUUUUUUUUUUUAAUUGAGACAAGAUCUCACCUUGUCACCCAGGCUGGAGUACAGUGGUGUGAUCUCAGCUUACUGCAGCCUUGACCUCCUGGGUUGAAGUGAUCCUCCUGCUUCAGCUCCCCAAGUAGCUGGGACUACAUGUGCGCACCACUGCGCCUGGCUAAUUUUUUAAUUUUUUGUAGACACAGGGUUUCACCAUGUUGCCCAGGCUGGUUCCAAACUACUGAGCUCAAGCGAUCUGCCUGCCUUGGACUCCCAAAAUGCUAGGAUUACAGGCAUGAGCCACCAUGCCUGUACUUACUCUUUUUUUUUUUUUUUUCUCUGAGACGGAGUUUCACUCUUGUUGCCCAGGCUGCAGUGCAAUGGCGCAAUCUUGGCUCACCACAACCUCUGCCUCCCAGGUUCAAGUGAUUCUCCUGCCUCAGCCUCCCAAGUAGCUGGGAUUACAGGCAUGUAAUUACCACCACACCUGACUAAUUUUUGUAUUUUUAGUAGAGAUGGGGUUUCACCAUGUUGUCCAGGCUGGUCUCGAACUCCUGACCUCAGGUGAUCCGCCUCCCUCAGCCUCCCAAAGUGUUAGGAUUACAGGCAUAAGCCACCAUGCCCAGCUGACUUAAACUCUUAAUAGGGAGAGACCAAGUUACAAAAAUCCAAGUCAAAUGAAAGAAAUGACAACCUGUCCCAGUCUAAGACUAGUUUGGUACAUCUGAACAAGGGAAUAUGUUUUGGACUUUCCUCAAUCCAAAGUUCCAAAGAUAUCCCAUUCUUCAAUGGUCUUUUAUGCUUUCUUCAGACCCAUUCCUGGAGGUGAGCCACUCAGUUCAUAAUCCAUACUUCCCCAAAGGUCACUCAGACAGUCAUGGAGAUGUGAUCCCUAAUGAGAAAAUUAGCAAGUGAUGUUCCAUCUCUGGUCCCUGCAGCAAGUGGACUCCUUUGUUAAGACGUUGGUGACCUACACCUGUGUUAAUAUGGUAGCCACUAGCCAUAUGUAGCUAAUGAGUACUCGAAAUGUGGCUAGUCCCAAUUGAGAUGUGGAGUAAGCUUUCAAAGACUUAGUAGAAAAGGAAAAUAUAUCUUAAUUAUCUUGAUAAUUUCUAUAUUAAUUACAUAUUAAAAUAAUAUUUUAAAUACAUUGGGUUAAAUAAGACAUAUUACAAUUAAUUUUACCUGUUUUACUUUUUAUUUUUAUUUUUAUUUUUUUUGAGGCGGAGUCUCGCCCUGUCACCCAGGCUGGAGUGCAAUGGCGCAAUCUCGGCUCACUGCAACCUCCACCUCCUGGGUUCAAACAAUUCUCCUGCCUCAGCCUCCCAAGUAGCUGGGAUUACAGGUGCCCACCACCAUGCCCAGCUAAUUUUUGGAUUUUUAGUAGAGACAGGGUUUCACCACAUUGGCCAGGCUGGUCUCAAACUCCUGACCUUGUGAUCUGCUCAUUCAGCCUCCCAAAGUGCUGGGAUUACAGGCGUGAGCCACCAUGCCUGGCCUUUGUUUCACUUUUUUAAAUGUUUCUACUAUAACAUUUAAAAAUACAUAUGUGGGCCAGGCGCGGUGGCUCACACCUGUAAUCCCAGCACUUUGGGAGGGCGAGGCAGGUGGAUCACAAGGUCAGGAGAUGAGACCAUCCUGGCCAACAUCGUGAAACCCUGUCUCUACUAAAAAUACAAAAAUUAGCUGGGUGUGGUGGUGCGUGCCUGUAAUCCCAGCUACUCGGGAGGCUGAGGCAGGAGAAUUGCUUGAACCAGGAGACGGAGGUUGCAGUGAGCUGAGAUCGCGCCACUGCACUGCAGCCUGGCGACAUAGCAAGACUCCAUCUCAAACACAAAAAACCAAAAAAACAAAAAAAGUAUGUGGCUUGCAUUAGAUUUCUGUUGGAAAGCGCUGUCCUAAACAGGAAACUUUUGGUCAAUGAAAUGUCCGCUUUAAAGAGCUGGAGUUCUUUAGCUGCUACAGUAGUUACAUUUGGUCCAUGACCUGAGAAAGCUACGGUUUGCAGUUAAACUUCAGCUGAUCCCUUUGAUGGCAACAAAUGUGGUAACAUUUUUAGGUGCAAACAUUGAAAUUAUGAGCCAUAGUCCUCGGAGACCAUUCAAGAGGUUAAAGAGGAUAAGUGAUUUUUAAAAAAAAGAUAAUAGAAGAGUCAGAGUGAAAUUGGGCAGUUUUGUGAUGCUCAGUUUUGAAAAUGAAUCAAGACCAUCUAGAGAAACCAACAUUCUGUUCAAGUACUGCCAAAGUUCUUAAAGUCAGUAACCUCUCCUACUCCUCAUCCCCAUGUGGCCCUAGAGAACUCCAAGAGCGAGGGGGAGUACAGUGUCUGCUUCAUUACAUGUCUGUGGUUUGGCAGAGAUCACAGCAAACUAGCUUGACCUGGCCAACAAAGCCAGGCAAUGGGAGGAAAGGAUGAAUCGCAGAGUGAGAGAUUUAGAGGAAGAGAGGGUGGGGCAGAGAAGAAGCCAAUGUAAAUUUUUUUGAGUUAAGGCUUUGCCAAGUCUUAAUCAAGGGUAAAAAUCACCAAGAAGAAAGGACUUUAAAGAACAAGGUAAUCAGAGUCUUAUAUGAAAUUGGAGGAUAUGUGCAAUCAGGAAAAUUUAUUUGGCCCCUUGAUAUAUUGGCAGUAAGCUCUUACAAUUCCAGUCCUAUAAGAAAACAAAUGGUUUCAAUAACUUUUAAAAGACAUUUCCUAAACUCUAGUUUCAAUCACAGAACUAUCUGAUUAAUUUGUUCAAUUCUCAAAUGCUGAAGCUAAUUUAAUGAAUGGACCAUAGCUAGGGAAGCCCAAAUUCAGAUUUAAAUCCUACAGACUGGUUACAUGGCGUUAUUAAAAAAUCAGAAAAAAUAGUCAUCACAAUUUUGGAGGCUACCAUUUUAGAGUAUCUGUUGCAACACCUAGGUAAUGAAUUCUUACUCAAACCCAACUGGGAAGAUUAUGAAGAUUACUACCACGAAUUUUGUAAAUAUUUCCUGGGCCGGGUGUGGUGGCUUAUGCCUGUAAUCCUAGCACUUUGGGAGGCUAAAGUGGGCGGAUCGCCUGAGCUUAGGAGUUCAAGACCACCCUGGGCAACAUGGUGAAACCCCGUCUCUACUAAAAUACAAAAAAUUAGCUAGGUGUGGUGGCACGCGCCUGUCGUCCCAGCUACUCAGGAGGCUGAGGCACAAGAAUUGCUUGAGAUUGGGAGGCAGAGGUUGCAGUAAGCUGAGAUGGCACCACUACAUUCCAGCCUGGGUGAAAGAGCAAGAGUCUGUCUCAAAAAAAAGAAAAAAAAAAAAAAAAAAAAAAGAAUAUUUCCUGAAGAUCAAACCCAUCCAAGAAAAUUAUACUCCAAUGCUCUACUGUACCUUGAUCAUUCUGUUCGAUGCUGAAAUAAUAGAUUUCCACCAUUGCCUUUUUCUUUUAAGUCACUCAGUUAUAGUGACUGACAGAGUUCUGUAUGGCACUUAGAAAGGAGUUAAAGCAAAUAAACACAGGGACAUGGCACCUCCAAGAAUAUAAAAGGCCACCCUAAUGUGCCCAUAGAGAAAGGACUUCUGUUAUUUCUGAUGAUUCUUAAUAUAAUGGAAAAGUGUGAAAACUUGUCUGCUUGGUUCUAAAUCUAGUUCACCUCAAGGCUUCCUUGCUGAAGUUCUAGCCACCUUCAGCAUACCCACUUUAGCUCACUCUCCUUUCUGAUAAAGGUUCAAGUGUUUUUAAUGGUGGCAAUAGGGCCAUAGGUCCAGACCUAGGCAGAACCCCACUCAGUCAGAAUAAAGCCAUGCAUUUCUGUGCUUGUUCUUCACAGACGCCAUCUUGCCAGUGGCAAAAGAAAAGUAACUGGUCUGGAGAACCGAAUGCCCUUGCAGUUAUACAUAAAAUUCUAUGCAUGUGCAAUCUUCUGGUAUCUGAUCAUACUUUCAGAUUCUCAAAUGUGUCUAUGACUCAGAAAAUUUUCUUUAAAUUAUCAUCUUGCCUCCUAACACCCUGCUUUAGGCAUUGCUUUCUUGAUUCUGGCAUUGAAUUUUUGCCCUAAGGUUAAGAGAGUUUCUUAAAUUUAGACCAUUGUUAUGGAAUAAAUUAUGUUCCCCCCAAGUGUAUGUGUUACAGCUGUAACUCCCAGUGACUGUAUUUGGAGAUGGGGCGUUCAGGGAGGUAAUUAAGAUUAAAUGAUCUUAUAAGAGUGGAGCUCUCAUCUGAUAGGACUCGUGUCCUUAUAAGAAAAAGGAGACACCAGAGAGCUCUCUUUCUGUGUGUGCACAGUUAAGGCCAUGUGAGGACACAGUGAGAAGGUGGCUGUCUACAGCCAGGAAGAGAGGCCUCAUCAGAAACCAACCCAGAUGGCACCUUGAUUUUGCACUGCUGGGCUUCGGAACUGUGAGAAAAUAAACUUCUAUUGUUUAAGCCACCUGCCCUGUGGUAUUUUGUUAUGUCAGCUUGAGCAGACUACCACAACCAUUAAGUUACGAAAAUAAGCUUAUUUUAUCUACAUGUCAAUAUCCCCCAUUGAACUACAUUGGAUAUUGACCACCUCUAUGAUUCAGGCUAGUUUUCAAUUCAGAUUUACUGCCAUCAGAUUUUUUUAAAUCAUGAUAUCAUAGGUUAUUAUAGGAAAAUUAAAUACCCGAAUCCAUCUGCUAGGCACAGUAGAAGCUAUGGAUUGAGAAAAUCAAGGAGUCAGGCAAAGUGGAAGGAAUUAUCAUUGCUGCUUGGACUUGGCAGCGAAAUAAUCCCGGAGAAAUUCCAUCUUUCUGUGAUGAAAUCAGGCUCUAUAUGUGCUCCUGUAAUGACAUGAUACACAAGUAUUCAGCCCUGCAAACAGCUUGGAUAGCACUUUGUGGAACAAAAUGGAUGCAAUUGGAUUAGAGGUAUCAAUAUAUUUUAUUGGGAUCUUAAUGUGGGAAAGGGUAAUUGCAGGGUAGUAGAGGAGAGACAGAGAAGUGAGAAUAUAGAAGGAAAGACAUGAGAGACUGUUUCCAAGCCGUCGGUUAAAGCUUUGCCAUGUCAGCUGGCAGGGCCAGAGCAAGAAGAAAGAGCAGAAAGUUGAGCUGUUUAACGGGAGUCUCCUUAAUUAGGACCAACUGUGGGUGAGGAAUGCUGACUCGGCUGGCCACAAUUUGUUUGAGUUUUCUCUAGUUUCAGAGAUUUCCCUUUUUGUCUGCCCCAAGUCUUUCCCCUCCUGUACUUCUUUCACAGGAGUGGGAAUGAAAAAACAAGGCACCUUCCUCUCUUUUUCAGAUGUUUCCAAGUCAGGAAAUUGAAAUCCUUCAAAGAGUGAAAGAUAACUGAGAAUCUCAAGAAAAGCAAAAAAUUCUCAGGGAUACCAUCAAAUUCACCUUCAAAAGAUAAAAGGCAGUCCUCUAGAGCAAGCUCUGGAGUACUGAGUAUGUACUUCUAUCUCUACUAGUCGCUAUUACUACAGUUGAGUUAGUGUACUUGUCUUAGCCUCAAUUUCCCCAAGUAUAAACAGGUAAUUGAACACCCACUAAUCAAAAUCUUUAGAAAGUUUGAACAUCAAGGAAAAUGAUUUUGAUUCUUAACUUGGUCAAGAAAACAUCUUGAGGAAAACUAAAAAGUCACAAAAUUAAGGUGUCAAUUGAUGUGAGUGACCUUAUUUUGAGUUUCCAUAUUUUUAUUGGAGAGGGCCUGAAGGAGGCUCUAAGAAUAGUCAGUAGGAUUCUGUUCAGAACCAACAUUUUUUUUUUCUCUUUCUAAAACCCACAUAGAUGUCCCAUUUUAAGGAUUUUUGGAAAGGGAUGAAAAUGAUAUUUGAUUUUAAAUUUCAUGAGAUAAUUCCUACUUCCUCACCACUGUCUCACCCAUAUUCUUCCUGCAGUGUUUCCUUAGGAGUCCACUGCACAAUUCCAAAAUCCCUAGCUAAUUGAAAAGAAAUGUAGAAUAGUGUCUGCAUUUCUGCACCUUCUCUAAACCAAUAAGGAAGUAAGAGAUAAUUGACAAUACUCCGAAAAGUAGGAAAAGUUUGGCUUAAGGGUCCAGAGUAGGGGUUGGCCAGAUAGUAAAUAUUUAUGAGGCUUUGCAGGCCAUAAAGUCUCUGUCACAACUACUCAAUUCUGCCAUUGUAGCACAAAAGCAGCCAUAGAUAGUAUGUAAACAAAUGAAUCCGGCUAUGUUCCAAUAGAACUUUAUUUAUGUCCACUGAAAUUUGAAUUUCACAUAAUUUUCAUGUGUCACAAAAUAUUGUUCUUCUUUUGUUCCUUCCAAUCAUUUAAAAAUGUGAAAUCCACUCUCAGCUUGCAGGCCAUACAAAAACAGGCAGUGGACUGGAUUUGGCCAAGCAGGCCAAAGGUCACCAGCCCUGGGGCUAGACCAAAAAAAGAACCCCUAAAAAUGAAAAGAAAUAACAAUUCCGUAACUGACAAGUCCUGGGCAAAAAAGCAACUCUGGGCUAAGAAUGACCUCUUGGAUUUCCACUUUUAUUACUUCUGAUCUAACCUGCUCAAUUUUCAAGUCAAAACAAGAUUUUUCUACUACUGAUUCAGUUUUUUGGGUUUUUUGUUUGUUUGUUUUCUUUGAGACAGGGUCUCACUCUGUCACCUAACUGGAAUGCAGUGGUGCAAACACAGCUCAUUGCAGCCUCAAGCUCCAGAGCUCAAGGGAUCCUCGCACCUCAGCUUCCUGAGUAGGUGGGACUACAUGCGGGUGCCACCAUGCCCAGAUAAUUUUUUUUUUUUAAUUUUUUUGUAGAGACAAGUUCUCACUAUGUCGCCUAGGCUGGUCUUGAACUCCUGUCCUCAAGUUAUCCUCCCGCCUUGGCUUACCAAAGUGCUAGGAUUACAGGCAUGAAUCACUGAGCAUGGCCUCUGAUUUAGUUUUGACUCAGAAAAAAAGGAAGAGGUUGGAAAAGAAUAGAGAAGAAAAAGAAAAAAAGAAGCAUUCGUACUGCUUGUACGUCAUUGCCAAUCCUCCAUUCUGGAAGUAGGCGAUGCCUUAAAGUGGGAUGGAAUGACUUAUGUAGGGUUGACAGAAGCAAAAACCAUUUUUGGUCAGAAGCACAAAUUCUUCUACACAGGUUGGAAGAAGUGAUAUAGAACGUAUAUGGCCUGUAUAUGUUCCUGAUGCAUAAAGCAACAAAUAAAAGUCUACUUUAUUAAACGAAGACGUUGCCAUUCAUCUUCAGAUCUCAGAUCACCCUGUGAGCGCAAAGUGAGUACUGAAAGAGGAAAAAGGGAUAGGAAUCAGGCCCCAAAUUCAUACUACUAGGCUGAGAAAUCUGUGCAACUCUGAGCAGUUUCUGGCAGCUCUAAAAGACCCAGGCCAGACUGCUGGUGUGAAACGCUGAUCUGGCUAUAAACACCUCCAGCCACUGAGCUACUCUCUCUUCGCGGAAUGAAGCUUCCCACCACAAACCAAAUGAAUUGCCAGGCGUUCCCUCUGAACACAUUAUUCCCCGCUUUUUGACUUCUUUGUAUCAUAUUCAGUUUUCUCACUCCAGAAUCCCUGGCCUUCCAUUAUCACCUUCUUUUUUUCUUUAUUAAAUAAGAAGUCCACUUUCCAACGUCUUCUUUAGUGUUUCUACAAAAGCUGAGGAGGUCAUCUUUUUUCUGUUCACGGUCUCCUUAUUCAGUCAACAAAAUCUUUAAAUCCUGAGUCAAGAUAGAGGGCAAAAGCAAGCUUUUCUGCUGUAACUACCCUAAUGCUGUCCACAUUCAAUCUACUAAAAACAAACAAAAGGGAACAUCAGAAAGGAAAGCUGCCAGCAAAACAGAAACAAACACAAAUUCCAAAUAUUAAAACCUAAAGAGAAGAAUAUUGGAUGCUAAUUCCUCAAGUCUGUCUGCUUGCACACUACUAUACUGAACUACAUGGUACCAUGUUAGUUAGAGAGAAGUGCCUCUCUAGGUCCAGAGGCUUGAGCAUGUGGGAGGAUCUAUUCAGGAUACGGGCAAGUUAUGUGACACAAUGACCCUUUGUAAUGCACAUAAAGAGACUCCCAUCCAAAUCCACAGAUUCACCAUAACACUCUGUUAUUGAAGUAUUUGUUGCAAGUUAAGCUACUUGAUUUAUUUUCCUUUUCAAAAAUAAUACUGAGAAACCAACUCACCACAGAAUGCAAACAUUUCUCUCAGGAAUUCACACCCUAUUGAGGUCCCCAGGGAGAAAGUCAGUGAACAACUCUGGAUGAAGAAUGUUACUCUAAUACAAAUCUAAGCAGGGUCACCACACAAAAAGAACUCUUGUCCCUACACUAAAUGCAGAGGAAAAGAAAUACUUCAGGCUGGUUAUGGAGAGUCAUCAAUAAGGUAAAAGAUGAGGCUGUUUUCCAGGUUAUAUAAACUUUUAAAACAUAAUAUUCUUUUUUAAAAAAGUUUAAUCUAUUUAUUUAUUUUGAGAACGGGUUAUGAGACUGGUUAAUUUUUGUAUUUUUGGUAGAGACGGGGUUUCACCGUGUUGCCAAGGCUAGUCUCGAACCCCUUGGCCUUAAGCGAUCCACCCGCCUGGGCCUCCCAAAGUGCUGGGAUUACAGGCGUGAACCACCAUGCCCAGCCACCAGGUUAUAUAAACUUUUGAUAUAGCUUCAGCAAUCCCUAGUAGGAUUAUUUUGAAGUUUUGAUCUCAGUGGCUUGGCUAGAUUUCCUAAUUCCAGUAACUUUUGUAACUCUUUUUGAUGCCCCAUCCUCGUUUAAGUUCAAAACUAAAAAUAGCAAUGAUAUAGGUGGAAGCAGCCACAGGGGCAGGAGUACCAGAUGAUAAGUUUUCUCUUUUUACUUGUCCACAAAGAACAAUAACCUCAGGACUUGAAGGAGCUUCAAUGUAUUGCAAGGGAAACCUACCAAUUUGUUACUGGGGGAGUUUAUUCAAUCCCUCAACUAGCACCCUGAUAUCAUUAUUUCAAAAGAAGUGGUCACGAGAAGGUAGGAGAAUUUAAGGACACACUUCAUUACUGAACAGUUUUUAAUCUGUGUGAAUUCAACUGUCAAGAUUUCCAUUGUAGCAAAGCAAUCCAUGUAGAAGUCUGAGACUGCUCUGUGGAAAGAUGCUGUUCACUUAAUCAUCAGGCAGGCUGGGAUCCAACUCAACAUUAGCUAUUACUUAUACCCAUCCAGUCAAGCAUAACCAGCAUAACCUCUGCAUUGCUGGACAAGCAUGCAGCAGUGUCCUGCAUGAAAUCAAAGGAAAAUCUGCAGUUUUACUGAAAAGAUUCAUGGCUCUCUGGAAAACCACCUUAAAUAAUUUAGGAACCUGAGAAGGCAACCAAACGAUAUUAAUGAACACUCACGACCUCUGCAUCAUACUUUUCGACAUUAGAUAUGCUGAAGCCUGGGUGAUGGCCCUCCUUCAGUCUGUGAAGUUGAUGCAAUAUCUAGCUCACUUGUUUGCUUGUUAUCUGCCUCUAAGCUUGCAUCAAACCAAAGCAGUUUCUCCACUUCUUCACUAACUAAUGCACUGUGGAAACCCAGUGUUUCUUAAAUACUUGCUAUUAAAAGGCAUCUUUAAUGUGCUGCCUUUUAUAAUGACACAAAAGGGCAUGCAUUUUACAUUAUACUUCUAGUGGAGCUGCCAGAUGUAGGCUAAUCAAUGCAAAUAAUCUAAUCUUUUUUUGGGAGGGGGGAACAUCACUAGAUAUUGUUAUUACAACAAUAGUUACCAUAUGUUCAGCACCUAAAUAUGUAUGCCAAGCACUUUGCUGGGCACUUAACAUACAUGUAUAACCUCAUUUAAAGCUUCAUAUUAAUUCCAAGUUAGAUAUGGCUUCCAUUUUACUUACAACAAGAACUGAAACUUAAAACAGAUAAAGUUACAUGCCCAAGGGCCCACAGCUAGUAAGAAGAAAACAAAGCCAUUGUAAUAUCAAGAUCUGUCUGACUCUAAAGACUGUUUUUAACCACUACAUAUACUACAAAUACUUCCAUUACGAGAGAGAUAAAUGAAGUUAGGGGUGGUCACAGAAUAGCAAAACUAAAUUAGGCAUUUACUCAGAUCACUUGGGGACCAUAUGGGAUUACUUCUGCAGUGCAUUAUUUGGCAGCUUUCCAAACGGUGUUCCACUGGAGGGUGAAGAUCACUUAUGCAUCUCUAGGGACUCUUUGCACAAAAAGGUAGUCUCCAGGUCAAAUUUAAUUUGUGUCUGCUCCGUCACUUCUACCUUGCGCCUCAGUAGUUUCUGACAUUUGGGAUUUAGAAUUGUGAAAAAGAAAUGAGGUUAGUUCCUAGACCUCAAAAAGCCUGCAAACCAAAACACAAUUUGCUUGAAAGAGUGACAUGCUCCAAGUAUCUGAAGGGCUUUAGCAAAAAGAAUAAUGUAGGAUAGGCUAUGUAGCUUGACAGAAAGCUUACAUAUUUGCUCAGGUUGGUUCCUACAGUUUCCAAAGGCAAAUCAGUGUACUUCCUUAAAUAUGAUCACCACCAAAUAAAAUGUCAACAUCAUAUGCCUGCAGUAGAAUGGGAAGAAAAGAAAUCGAUGUCAGGGUGUCAGCUGAAGAGCAGCUACUGAUAAUUUAACUGACUUCACAUGUGGUGGGACAGGCACUCUUUUUGGACUGCCCAUUCUAGCAUCUUUCCUCUUUAGGAAAACUUAUCAAGGACCCUAUCUGGCCCCAAAGACCUUACUUUGUAAAGGAAGUCUAUGCAACUCGUGGGCAAGAAUCCAAAACAUCAAUCCCUCAUGGUGAGGACAAGAAAAAAAAUGCCGGAUGAGUCCCCACAAGUGGGGCCACCAUACUGAGACAUAUGGAUGGGGGCAGGAGGCCCUGUGGCUCUUGGGGGCGUUGGAUGGGCCAAGAGGGGUCCUAUGCGUGGGUGCAGCCAACAGCUUUCCACAACCACCUGGGAACCAGCUGCAUCAUCCUCAUGAUGUCUCAUUCCACCGCAACUAGGCUGGCCAGGUAGCAACAGUGAUGCUUUUGCUUUGGACAGCCCUGUCUUUCUUUUCAGACUUGGGUUAGUCUUCCGAGUCAAAGACGUCAGUGCUCUGAUGCCCCACAGCUUAGGCUUUGGGGUCAACCCUCUUGUGCCUCGCUGGAUGAAAAUGAACUCAGAAUAGUUUCCCAGGUUAAUGGCAGAUGCCCCUGGUCAGCUGAUUUGGGGGAAUGUCAUUUGAUGACAGCACUGGAGAUGUAGAGUAUGGUAUGAACUAUAAUAGUGUGCAAUCUAUAUCAAGACAGAAUAUCAAAUAUAGAAACUGAAAGAAGGCAGAAUGCAGCAGCUCAUGCCUGUAAUUCCAGCAAAAGCAGAAGAAUCGCUCGAGGCCAGGAGUUCAAGACCAGCCUUAGUGAGACCUCAUCGCUACUAAAAAAUUAGCCGGGCGUGGUGGCAAGCACCUAUAGUCCCAGCUGUUCAGGAAGUGAGAAAGGAAGACAGCUUGAGCCCAGAAGUUAAGAGGUCACAGUGAGCUAUGAUUUAUGGAUUGUGCCACUGCACUCCACUCUAACCUGGGCAACAGAGCAAGACAGUCGAAAGAAAAAAGAAAAAGAAAAAAGAAAGAAACUGAAAGAAGCCUCUAAAAACUUCUUGCCUUCAGAGAUCUUGAGGAGAGACUGCUUUUUCAGAUGUUCAAUGGCAUGUACCACAUGAAAGUCAAGCUGCAGAGUUAAUGGGGAUUGUUGAACAGAGAGUUAAUGGGGAUUGCUUCUUUGUCUGAACAUUAUGACACUGUGGGAUGGCUAGAACCAUAAGUGCCGCAUAGGUCCGUAUAACAGUAGGGCUCUUGUGGACAGCCUACUUUAACAUACUCCUAUGCCAGACCUGCCACUAUUAUUGUGACCACAGAAGGAAACUUUUGGGGCUAAGAGUGAAUCAUUUUCUGAUCAAUCACAAAGAAAGCCAAAGUAGUGGGGAGAAAGACAGAGAAAGAAAGAAAGAAAGAAAGAAAGAAAGAAAGAAAGAAAGAAAGAAAGAAAGAAAGAAAGAAAGAAAGAAAGAAGGAAAGAAAGAAAGAGAAUUGCUCAUUAGUUCUUUGCCCUUUUCCAGACACCUGGAGAAGGAACUAUAAAAAAUGUGGGAUGUGCUGGAGAAGAAAACCUAUUGGUCUGGAGAAGGAAUUUUUCUUCAGGGUGAAAAUGCAGAGAAUUUCUACAUAUUGAGUCACAUGAAGGCAAAAUAUUGACUAAAAAGCUAGGCAGCAAGGAAGUAGGGAUUUUAAGGCAUUAUGAAGGAGACUGCAGAGUCUUCCCUACUUGGCAACAACCCAGGACACCAUCAGUCUAUUUGGCCAGAGAGACCAAAUGUUUAGUUAUAAAAUGUAGAGGGCCCUGAGACACUUCUUGUGCCUUGUGUUGAUAUUUUGUAGGGAGACAUAAAACAAUAUGAAGAGUUGGUAAAAUGGUUUUGCUCCAGAAUUAGCAAGGAAGUAUGAAGCAUUCAGGGAACUAAGCUUUUUAAAUGUCUGAAAAUAUGAUUAUAGCGCUACAGACUACAGAAAAUCUAGAAAAACACAUGAGAACUGAAGAUUUAAAUAUUUUUAUAUAGGCUCUGCAUUAUGCCCAUAUUUGUUUAUUUUUUUCCCCAAUUUUCAGUCUGUUACUUGGAACACUGCUCCUUAGUAGUAAUUAAACUGUUAAGUGGCAACUUUUUCAUGCUGGAUCUAUUCUGCCCACCCUACACCACUUUUUUUUUUUUUUUUUUUUUGAGACAGAGUUUCACUCAGUCACCAGGCUGGAGUGCAAUGGCGCAACCUCAGCUCACUGCAACCUCUGACUCCCUGGUUCAAGCAAUUCUCCUGCCUCAGCCUCCUGAGUAGCUGGGAUUACAGGCAUGCACCACCACGCCCAGCUAAUUUUUUUGUAUUUUUAGUAGAGAUGGGGUUUCACCAUGUUGGCCAGGAUGGUCUCGAUCUCCUGACCUUGGGAUCCACCCACCUUAGCCUCCCAAAGUGCUGGGAUUACAGGUGUGAGCCACCGUGCCCAGCCCACAACUUUUUUUAAAGCUGUGUUUCUUCUAGGAGCCUCUUCUCCACGCCAGGCAUAAGGAGGAGGUUUAUUUUAAUGACUUUCACCUUCCAGGUCUUUCCAGACAUAAAGCAACUAAUGUGUAAGUGCAUUAAUUGCCAAAUCUCACAAACCACACUACUAUGAUUCUUGUCUUGCAGCCUCUAACUAAAAUUGAACUAAGAAUGCAAGUUUUCCUAGCCUAUAUCUGGUCAUGGAAACCAGUUUAGUUCCUAUCCUGCAGCAAUGUUGAUAGCCAAUCAUUACUGCCCUUUCAAAUAACAAUAAAAACUAAGUUAAGCUAAAAUAAGUAUAUCUUCUUCCUCUUCCUCCUCUUUCUCUUCUUCCUCCUCCUCCUCCUCUUCUUCUCUUUCUUCUUUUUUUUGAGACAAGAGUCUCACUCUGUUGCCCAGGCUGAAGUGCAGUGGUGUAAUCAUGGCUCACUGCAGCCUUGACCUCCUCUUGCCUCAGGCAAGUAACUGGGACCACAGGCCUGUGCCACCAUGCCUGGCUAAUUUUUAAAUUUUUUGUAGAGGGGGGGCCUCAAUUUGUUGCCCAGGCAGGGGAAAUAAGAUAAUAUCUUAAGUUUUUAAAUGUUUUUAUGCAAAAUAUUUAAUUGUUAUUUUAGAGAUAAGAGAGUAUUUGUUGAUUCUUUCUAGUGUUGCUGAAAAAUGUUGAAAUGUGUACAAAAUGUCAACUGGGGCAUAUUUAAGGCAAGGUAUUAAGUAACAUGUUGUCUUUACUCUGAAUUCUUAUUACUGAUGUCUAAAGGCACUAAUUUCUCUAAAGUUGUAUCUCAAAUUAUCUAAAGUCAUUCCUCUGUUCCUGACUGGCAUUUUUAAACAUUAUACCUGAUAUGACAUAUUCUUUAACAUUGUAGCAUAAUUCCAUUGUUUGAGACAAAUUAUGUAAAUUUAUUGCUAAUUUAUUGGGAGGGUCCAUUGUACAUAUUGAAUGAAACGCAUUAUUUCCCUAUUUUUAAAAACUGGUUUAGUUAAUAUAACAGGACAAAAUAAAAUCAAAUCCUGUGGUACAAAUAACAUAAAAUAAAAAAUUUUCUAGCAUAGAUCAUAGGAUUAAAAAGGUAAAAGCAGAUAGAGCAGGAGAUAGUUAUGUCUAGUUUGAUCCUGCUGCCUCAUCACUCAUGAGCCACAUGGAGAGAACUUUUCGCCUGCAUUUGUAGGCUACCAGCUGUCUCUCCUUUCAACUACUACACUCAUCGCCUCUCCACCUUACCUCACAUUUACUCCCCCACUCAUUGGAACUUGGCUUUCAUUUCCACUGCUUCACUGAAAUCUCUUUGGCAAGGGUUACCAAAGAUCUCUACAUUGCUAAUUCAACUAGGACUUUUUCAUCCUUUCUGACUUCUGCGUUGCAUUUAACACUGUCAGUCACUCCUUGAAAUUCUUCCCUCUGUUAGCCUCGGUGACAGCAUUCUCUUUCUGUUCCUGCUUAUCCAGAUUCCUUCUUCCUCCUCUGCCCACCUUUUACACUUUGGUCUUUCAUUAUAUGUGGCUCUUGACUUACUGGUGUUCCUCUUCUACCUAUUCCCUUGGGAGUCCUGUCCCAUUGGCAAACAUGAUGGCAGAGUAUCUUCCUGUAUAGGGUAUGAGAGGUUGGGUGGAAGGGUCUGGCACAGAGUAGAUUCUCCAUAAAUACUUGUUGAAUGAAUCAAGGGGUUAUAUUAAAAUAUUUUCCCCGGAACAGAGGUGAUUAGAGAAUCUUAGGGUCUGUGGCAGGAAAGAAGGCAAUAUGGAAAAAAAACACUUGCUAAGUGCUUUCUUCAAAGCAACUUUAUCCCAUUGCAAGUUCCCAGAUUCCAGCUUUCCUUCACUUUCCCCUUCUUUGGGUAGUCAUCUGCCAUCAGAAUGACAAUGUAUCUACUUCUGGCAAAGAAUUUUCUUGGGUUUCUGUAGUUGGGAAAGUCACAUCAGGACUUUAUUGGUCCCUUCUUUUGUGUAACAACAAUAAUCAUAUGCACAUUUACCCACCAAACAGAAGCUAGCCCUUUAUGUAACCCCCAGUGUGUUUCUGGAAUGUGCUCCUAUGUGGAGUUUGCCUAGCACAGCUUAAAAAUUGCAAGAAGGAUGCAGAAUGUGCUGUGGAAUUGUUUGUGUGUAAAAUCGUUUGACCUCUCAUGAUGAGAGCUUCUUGAGAGCCUGAAGCCUUGUCAUUUCUGUGGAAAACAUUUAUCCUAGCCAAUGAAAACACACGGUGUUUGAGUUGAGCACUGUCAUUCUGAAGGAGUCACUGGAGAAGCACUAUUAAGGUAAAAUAUUACCCCCAAUCCGUUUCUCUAAUAAGGACAUUUGAAAGAUACACAAUACAUUCUUAUACCAACUUUAACCACUCUUCAAUCGCAGACAGUAGUCAAACAUAAGGUCACCAAAUUUUCCUAUCAUACAGUGGAUAGCGGAAUUUAAUUAAAUGGGGGCUUCUCUAGUUACCCAAUUAUGGGCUGAAAUUUAAUAUAGCACAAUUGCCUCUGCUUUUUACAUUUAUGAAAUAUGCAAUGCAGUUCUUACAGGGGCUCAUCAAUCCUGUCUCCUAGGAUAAACUGCAGUAUGUAUGCCACAGUGGCUCCAAAAUAGACCAUUUUAAAAGCAUUUACGUGAUAGUUUUUUCUCUGAAAAGCCACUUCUAAGAUAUGUGAAUGCUCUUCCUUAGAGAAGUUUCCUUUGGGAAGCUUCCUUCCAAAGCUUUCUUUGCUUAGGGGGUGUGAGUUUCUAAUUCCUUCUCGGAUCCCAGACAGAGCUGAGAUACUAUACAAGGUAACCUUUAAUUUGAGCCCCUCGUUCCCCCCAAAACUACCCCUACAUUCUUUCCUAAUGUGAAGAUUUCCAAUAACAGUGCAAAACUAGCAGUUAAUAAUAGGUCCCAACAUGUAAAUUACAGUGGUCACCAAAAAUAAAGCUUCAUGGGGGAAAAAUUUGCAAGUUACCACUGUGAGGUAGAUGCAGUAAAGAACAGUUUCCUCACACCAUGGAAAUCUGGAUGUCUUUGCACAAUUGGCAGACAAAUAUUCUGAACACAGUCCUUAGAAAUGAUUUUUUUCGUGUAAACCAAAUUAUGACUUUUCCCUACCUCGCCUCUCUGUCUCCUUCUCCUCAACAAACCUGACAAUUAAACACCCAAAGCUUGUUCCUAAGCCUAAGUCUUUCUUUACAUUUCUACAGAGCAAUUAAAAAAAAAAAAAGGCAAAGCUGUAAUCCGUUACCUUCUUAGCACUUUGUCUAAGGUGAUGACUGGGACCAUGUGUUAUUUGUGAAGUUUUCUUUCUUGCCAAGCAGCCCAUAAAUGGGCUUGAGAUCCUUAGAAUAAGAGUGCUUGUUAAGGAUUUCAAAAGAAGUGCUCCCAAGAAGCCCUCUUAAUUCAUACAUUCUGAAUAGCUUCCUCCCCCACUAAGAUUCUCUACUCUUUUUAUUAAUACAACCAAGGAACACUGGGCAGGUUUGUCCAAAGAAAUCCAUUUAGAAAUUCCAUGGAAUAGAAAGUGCACUUGUCUCUUUAAUUCGGGUCUUAAGGAAGGUUGAGUUGUCACCCUCACCAUGGGGGGGAUCAGUGAUCCGGCCUUGGAGGGCUUUGUAAUUUUUAUAGACCUCUUGCCUUCAUCUUUAUUUCAGAAUUAACCGCCUUCUUAUCUUAAGUCAUUUAGUUCAUGGACUGCUUACUCUUGGUGAAAUAUCUUUGUUGAGGGCUCUGAAGGUUUUCACUUCAGAGAACAGGACAGCUGAAUACCACAUUGUGCAUGGAGGUCAAAGGUCAGCACUGGAGAGAAAACCCAGCUAAUGCAUUGUGAAAGACCUUCGUUUUUAUGGGUGAGUUUUCCAUGCAUGUGAAAGUAAGCACAUCUCUCACCUAUUACAAAGCUUUGAACAAAAAAAGAACGAAAAGAAAAAGGAAUCUUAAUUCUUAAACAAUAACUGGAUGAAGUAAAGAUCUUAUUCCAGAGAAACAAACCAUACACAGGUGUUCAGGCAAGGUAAAAAGCCACUCACGACAUGCCCCAGGCAUGACAUCCUGCCCACUUACAGAUGAAGAAUGAAUGGAGGAAAGAAUAACAGGGAACUGAAAGGAUUUAAACUUCUCAAACCUUAACCUGUAAAUGCCAGCUUUACCAAACAUUUUUGAAAGGCAGAUGUUCUACUCAGUUUUUACAGAAUCAGGUAUUGAAGUAUCUAUAGUGCUUUGCAAAUAUUAAUACCUGACAAUUUUCAUAACCGGUUAUUGCUUUCAACACCCCAUGAGAUUGGAUUGCCAUAUUUCUGUAGCAAAUCCUUACUGAUGCACUUUCCAUUCAGACAAAAUUCCAUUCUCUCUAAACUGUCUCAUACCCAUUAUGUGCCUCUCAACUGCCAGUGAACUUCAUUCUUCUUCAAAGGGGGGAAACUAAGGCUGGAAGAUUUGCCCUCAGCCGUGGAACAAAUCAGUGACAAAGUCAGCAUUAGAUUUUUAGGUGCUUUAUCUCUUCAGUGCUAAAAAUGUGCUCCAACCUGGGCUGGAUAUCAAACAUAUACUUAGCAGGACAUCAAUCCUUUUCCUGGCUUCUCUGACAUGUUCUUUUACACAUGCUUUCGUCAAGAUGCCUCUUGCCACAUCACCUCCUCCAGGUUGAGAGGCAGAACAGUUUUUGUUAUCUAAAGAUACAUAUCUUAGAGAAAAAUAACAAUUUUGAGAACACAGGAAAUGACUGGCUAGGAAAUUACUUUUGGUAUUAACAUGCUUUUCUUGGGCAACUAUGAGUGAAAUUCCUGUUCUGAGGCUUUAUGAUCAGUCUAGGACUUUUGGCAUAAUCCUUAAAGAAGUCAAGAGAAGGAAGACUGAAAUUAAAAGAAGAGAAAGUUAAUCAAAAUCAAACUGGUUUUGUUUCUAGAGGAGAUGCCUUCAGGCAAUAGACAGAAAUAAAAACAUCCUGCUCUUUCUUCCAUCCUGUUCUGAUACAGGGUAGAUCCAGACCACUUCUCAAUUUAGAAAAGGGGUCCUCACAACUUCACCCCACCCUCCAGGCCUCCUCCGAUCUCAGAAAGGCAGGCAGGCCAAAAAUUCCUGCCUGCCUUUCUGAGAUUGGGAGGUGACAGCCCCUCUGGGCAUCAACCAAGUGGUAGGUGUGAGUAAAUAUAAAUUUCAUCAAUUAUUACUCCAAAGAGUUGAAAAUGAGUAAAUACAAGCUAUGACUUGAGCACUAAAAAUAUGUCCUCUGUCUGACUUGGGGAGAGCUUAUUUAGAUCUCAUAUAGAUUUGGAGAAAGAAAGACAUGGAAAAGACCUAAUCUGGUGGCUUGCAAGCCCUUUUUUAAGAAGAGCAAUCGUUUUUACUAACAUUUUAACCAGAAGUCCUCAAUGUAUGAAACAGGUAAACACAGGGCUGCUCUGUUUGAAAGGGAGGCAGAGUCACCAAGUCCACCUGCCCCUCUUCCUCCCCUCCCCACCCUGACUUGGUCAACUCUCAUACCAUGAACAGUUUACCUCAGUCAUUUCUCCCCUAUCACUGAUGCACCAAGUCAUCCACGCAAAUGGGUGUUUUUCUGCUUUGGGAGACUUCCAGGGAAGGGUUUUUCAUACCUUCCUUAGGCACUCAUUACAUGUAAAAUCCUUGCAGCGGUAGGUCUUUGUUAUAAAAAAUUACACAGAAAGUUGCCAGUGAACCUCAGUGUCAUUCAAAGUACUAGGACCAAUAGAAUUUUUCCUGAUACACUUCUGCUUUUCCAACUUGAGUCUUCACACCCAUACCUACAGUGCAUUAUCAAGUCUAAUGUCAGUUUCUUUAAGGUGGAGCAAAAUUUUAACAACAUAAAGCAAUCUGAAAGCAAAAUCCUCUAGAGUUUUAUAAUCUCCUCUAACCUUUCAAGUCCUACAUAUAACUCAGCAACAUGCCUUUUCUUUCUUUUCUUUUUUCUUUUCAUUUUGGAGAGAGAAUUGCUCUGUUGCUCAGCUGGAGUGCAGUGGCGUGAACAUGGCUCAAUGCAGCAGCCUCGACGUCCUAGGCUCAAGUGAUCCUCCAACCUCAGCCUCCUGAGUAGCCAGGACCACAGGACACUUCAGAGCCAAAGAGGAAACGAAUCCCAUCUGUUCUGAGCCCCCAAGCACAGUUCAAGAGGACAGGCUGGGGAGUGGAGGAAGGGGCGGUGAAGAGAAAAAUAAGAAGACUGGAACAUCCAGCCACACACGGAGGGCAGGAAGCCACCUGAUGAGAGAGCCAGGGUGUGGCAGAAGUCGCCAAGGAAUCCUUCUGUUCCCGACACACGCCUACAGCACUCGCUCAAGAUGGAGCCUGCUGACUCUGUCUAAGGCCCUGUGGCCCUUGGCAUAGGUUUCAGGACAGCAGUCCUGUCAGGGCUGUGGACCUCACACCUCUAUGUAAUGUGAAGGGCACCCUCUGGAGUUGUGGGACUUGGCAGUAGUGUUACUGCACUGGCCUGCAAGUCCCCAUCCAUUACUGCCACCCAGCUCAGACACAGCUCACCCAUUCACAUACACAAAAAUGGACACAUUGAGAGGGAAACCCACAUUAAAGUAGGGAGAAGAUGGAGGGCCCUCUGACCUCCUCCCAUCAGGCACGUGUGCCUCCUCUACUCAGUGCCUGCAUCCACCUCUGUAUGGGUACCCAUCCUCUAUUCCCCUCCCACUCCAAUGGAUGCCAGGGAUGGAAGGACAGAUGGCUGUGAAACUUAUCUUCUUAUUUAGAUUAAAUUCCAGACUUUCCUAUUUUUAGAAAAACAAAUUCCUUUUGUAUUUCCAAGUGGUAAAAAUGGCCCGAGCUGUCAUCUAGGACAGUCAGCAGCCAACUCAAAGUUGUCUGCAGUGUCAUGAUUUGGAUAUUACCCUGGCGAGACUACUUCUAGUGUCAAGCGGGUGAUCAGUCUAGGUGCCAAAUUUUAAGAGGGUCAUUGACGUCCUGAGAGCUUCCAGAGGAGGGUGACCAGGACAAUGAAAGGUUCGAAAAACUGGGUCAUUGAAAAAAGUACUGAAAUAAGCUAGGGACUUUUUCUUUUUCUUUUUGGUCUAGAGAAUAUUUGAGCUAUAUUAAGAACAUGUUGAAAUAUUUGGAUGAAGAGUUACACCCUUAUUCUAUUUUUCCCAGAUGACAGAAUUUGAAUCAAUAGGUAGAAGUUACAGCGAAACAGAUUUCAGUUGAAUAUUUAGAAACUUUCUUAUAACUUAAUUCUGUAUGAUAUGGAAUAAGCUUCCCAUCACUGUGCCUAUGCAAGCCAAGGAUGAAAGACUGUCUGUCAGGGAUACUGUAGAUAAGAUUAUUGUACUAGAUAGGAACAUGGACUAGUCUAAAAUUACUGAGAAGCUUUAGAAAAAUGUGGCUUUCUGGGUAGCAGAGAUUCUGCAUUGGUAAGUCUGAGGCUUAGAAUUUGUAUUUCCAAAAAACCCCAUCAGCUAUAAAACUCUCAGAAGAAAACGUAGGGGAAAAGCUGCAUGGCGUUAGAUUUUGCAGUGAUUUCUUAGAUAUGACACUCAAAGCAUAGCCAACAAAAGAAAAAAACAGAUAAAAUGGAUUUCAUCUAAAUAAAAAGCUUUUGUGCAUCAAAGGAUACAUCUACAGAAUGAAAAGGAAACCCAAUACACAGAAUGAAAGAAAAUAUCUCCAAAUCAUACAUGUGAUAAAAGGUUCAUAUCUAGCAUAUAUAAAGAACUCUUAACACUCAAAAAGAAAUUAAACAACACAAUUUAAAAAUGGGCAAAGGACUUGAAUAGAUAUCUCUCCAAAGAAGAUGUACAAAUAGCUAAUAAGUACAUAAAGCUGCUCCAUAUUACUAAUCACUACAGAAAUCAAAACCACAAUGAGAUAACCACUUCGCCUCCAUCAGGAUGGGUUUUUUCUUUUUUUGAGUUGGAGUCUCGCUCUGUCGCCCAGGCUGGAGUGCAGUGGUGCAAUCUCGACUCUCUGCAACCUCCGCCUCCUGGGUUAAAGCAAUUCUCCUGUGUCAGCCUCCCGAAUAGCUGGUAUUACAGGCACGCACCACCACGCCAGCUAGUUUUUGUAGUUUUGGUAGAGAUGGGGUUUCACCCCACACCAGUUGGCCGGACUGGUCUCCAACUCCUGACCUCAAGUGAUCUACCCAACCCAGCCUCCCAAAGUGCUGGGAUUACAGGUGUGAGCCACCGCGCCUGGCCAGGAUGGCUACUAUAAAUACAAACAAAACAGAAAAUAGUAAAUGUUGGGGAGAAUUCGGAGAAAUUAGAACCCUCAUUCAUUGCUGGUAGAAAUAUCAAAUGGUGCAGCCAUUGUGGAAAACGGUAUGGUGGUUCCUCAAAACAAACAAACAAACAAACAAACAAAAAACACAUAGAAUUACCAUAUGAUACAGCAAUUCCAUUUCCAGGUAUAUACCCAAAAAGAACCGAAAGCAGGGACUUGAAUAAUAUUUGGACACUAAUUUUCAGAGCAACAUUCUUCACAAUAGCCAAAAGGUGGUAACAACCCAUGAACAGAUGAAUGGGUAAACAAAAUGUGGCGUAUACCUACAACAGAAUAGAGUUCAACCUGAAAAAAGAAUGAAAUUCUAACGCUACAACAUAAAUGCUCCCUGAUGACAUUAUGCUAAGUAAAUAAGCCAGUCAUUAAACAACAACAACAACAAAGACUGUAUGAUUCCACUUAUAUGGGUUACCUAGAGUAGUCAAAUUCAUAGAGACGAAAAGUAGAAUGGUGGCUCCCAGGAGCUGAAGGGAGGAGGAAAGGGUAGCUACUGUUUAAUGGGUACAGUUUCUCUUUGGGGAGAAGACAGAAUUCUGGAGAUGGACGUGAUGAUGGUUACACAGCAGUGUGAAUGUACUGAAUGCCACUAAACUGUACACUUUAAAAUGGUUAACAUAAAAUGGUAAAUUUUAUGUUAUAUAUAUAUAACCACAAUUUUUAAAAAUAAAUCCUUUUUAAAAAACA